This 71-nucleotide ribosomal RNA is filed under the name Bifidobacterium animalis subsp. animalis IM386. The record is from RNAcentral. Lineage: Bacteria; Bacillati; Actinomycetota; Actinomycetes; Bifidobacteriales; Bifidobacteriaceae.
UGCGGCGGCCAUGGCCCAGGGGAGACGCCCGGUCCCAUUCCGAACCCGGAAGCUAAGCCCUGGCACGGCGA